AAUAAGUGUAGUUUUGCACUGUUUAUGUCUCACUUUUGACCGUUCGUUUUAUUUAAAAAUUUUUUACGAUUAAUAUUUUUAUUGUUAUUAGAUGAUAAAAUAUAAAUAGUACUUUAUUUGUGACUAAUUUUAAUUUUCUCAUAAAUUUUUCAAAUAAGAUGGACGGUCAAAUGUUAGACAUGGAUUUUCACCGCUGCACUUAUU
Oryza sativa Japonica Group (Japanese rice) is the source of this 204-nucleotide microRNA precursor. It matches the Rfam family "MIR812 microRNA precursor family". The record is from Rfam. NCBI's taxonomy places the organism in Eukaryota, Viridiplantae, Streptophyta, Magnoliopsida, Poales, Poaceae.